CACUUAAUUGCCUUCUCUUUCUGCUUUGUUCUUCGUCCCAGAGGUGGUUUUUAUUUUCCUAGAUUUAAAGUGGAUUUCAUAUUUGAAUCUGAAGUGGAUUUGAAGUGGAUGUCCCAGAGUGGAUUGAGGACACGUUUUGCUGAAGAGUGUUUCGUUAUGUGGGAAUUUCAUCUGUAUGUGGAGUAGUGGCUUUGUCAGCAUAUUAUACUGAACUUAGAGCCCAUGGUCCAACACAUUGUGUUUGCUUAAACUAUUCAUAAAUAUGUGUUGUUUGGAUUAAAAACUUAAAUAUUUCAAAUUAGAAGUACGAAAAUGCCUGGGUCAGUUUGGUUUCUCAGUUUUUAAAUGUAAAACCAUGAUCACUCUGGUUAAGUAUUUUUACAACCCAAUACCAACCAACAAAUUGUUAAAUCAUUAAACUUGGUUGGUUUGGUUGUCAGAUUGAGCGGUUCAGUUGUUUUGGUAAACAGCCAUAAUGAGGCCUUAGGGCAAUUAAAUGACCAAAAAUAUAGUAAUAUUACUGUGUGUAUAUAUAUAACAUAAUCUUUAAUUGUUAUAAAUUGUUGGCAAAGUGAGUGAGGGGGUUGUAAACUUGUAGUUAUUCACAUUAGUGCAAGGAUUCUAGCAGUUGUCAUGCUAUUAGCUUUCUAUUGAUAAUUCUUCUUCUAAAUUUAUAUGCUGUUUAAUUACGUUAAAACACUUAAUUCUAUUUGCUUAAAGCAUGGCUUAGUGAUUUAUCCCUUUUGAACUUGUUUGGCAGCACAGAUAAAUAAUGAACUUUGUGAUAGAUUUUCCGUGACUCAUUAUCCCAUGCUAUUUUGGGG
Molecule: unclassified non-coding RNA, 824 nt
Filed under: Hevea brasiliensis (rubber tree)
Lineage: Eukaryota; Viridiplantae; Streptophyta; Magnoliopsida; Malpighiales; Euphorbiaceae
Source: RNAcentral